Sander lucioperca (pikeperch) is the source of this 254-nucleotide long non-coding RNA. RefSeq lists it as uncharacterized. The record is from RefSeq and is a predicted model, not a curated record. Lineage: Eukaryota; Metazoa; Chordata; Actinopteri; Perciformes; Percidae. The transcript has 3 exons.
AAGAUGCCACAGUCAAAAUGCAUUACAUAUGGCAGUCAAAUGCCUUUGCAGCUGUUGCCAUUGCAUGUGGAGGAAUGCAAUGGCACAUUGACUGAGAGUGAAUCUGGGACAUGUCUUGAUGAAGAUUGUUCAGUUCUUGAGCAGCCAGUCCCAUCUACCAUAGGCAUGGAUGAAUCCUUGGCGGUCUGCCCAAUCUGUUUUGCAUCGUACCCAGCUGAUGUUCUCCCAUCUCAUGCAAGCACAUGUGGUGACAG